CCUACGUGUGGCAGCAGUGGGGAAUAUUGGGCAAUGGGCGCAAGCCUGACCCAGCAACGCCGCGUGAAGGAAGAAGGCUUUCGGGUUGUAAACUUCUUUUGACAGGGAAGAGUAGAAGACGGUACCUGUCGAAUAAGCCACGGCUAACUACGUGCCAGCAGCCGCGGUAAUACGUAGGGGGCAAGCGUUAUCCGGAUUUACUGGGUGUAAAGGGGGCGCAGACGGCAAUGCAAGCCAGGAGUGAAAGCCCGGGGCCCAACCCCGGGACUGCUCUUGGAACUGCAUGGCUGGAGUACAGGAGGGGCAGGCGGAAUUCCUAGUGUAGCGGUGAAAUGCGUAGAUAUUGCGCAGAACUCCGAUUGCGAAGGCAGCAUGCCGGCUCCACACUGACGCUGAGGCACGAAAGCGUGGGUAUCGAACAGGAUUAGAUACCCUUGUAGUC
RNAcentral lists this ribosomal RNA (442 nucleotides) under uncultured bacterium. Its description in RNAcentral is "partial 16S ribosomal RNA". It matches the Rfam family "Bacterial small subunit ribosomal RNA", at positions 338 to 795 of the family's 1533-position model. The record is from RNAcentral.